Molecule: long non-coding RNA, 227 nt
Filed under: Helianthus annuus (common sunflower)
Lineage: Eukaryota; Viridiplantae; Streptophyta; Magnoliopsida; Asterales; Asteraceae
Description: sRNA HanXRQr2_Chr09g0403931
Source: RNAcentral
GGGGUUCCUUCUUUUGAACCCUAAACUCACUAUUUGAUCAAAAUCAGAGGGAAAACAAGCUAGGAAUUUGGGGCUUUUACUAAAUUCGCGAUCACCAAGACAAGGGGGUUGUAAGGUAUGUCGAAAAUUAUGAUAUGUUUGAUCCCGUCAAGCUAAGAGGGAGCUGGCAAGGAAUGGAUCAAACGGGUCAAGUGCAUAAGGAAAGCUCGAACGGACGCAAACUGUAA